Sinocyclocheilus grahami is the source of this 95-nucleotide long non-coding RNA. RefSeq lists it as uncharacterized. The transcript is spliced from 3 exons. NCBI's taxonomy places the organism in Eukaryota, Metazoa, Chordata, Actinopteri, Cypriniformes, Cyprinidae. The record is from RefSeq and is a predicted model, not a curated record.
GAUUUUUAUAUCUGUAAGGAUCUGGAAAUUGUUGUCUGCGGUCAGUGUCACUGAUUUAGACAGUAUCUCCCAGCUCUUCUUUGGAUGAUUCUUAA